GACGAACGCUGGCGGCGUGCUUAACACAUGCAAGUCGAACGGAAAGGCCCUGCUUUUGUGGGGUGCUCGAGUGGCGAACGGGUGAGUAACACGUGAGUAACCUGCCCUUGACUUUGGGAUAACUUCAGGAAACUGGGGCUAAUACCGGAUAGGAGCUCCUGCUGCAUGGUGGGGGUUGGAAAGUUUCGGCGGUUGGGGAUGGACUCGCGGCUUAUCAGCUUGUUGGUGGGGUAGUGGCUUACCAAGGCUUUGACGGGUAGCCGGCCUGAGAGGGUGACCGGCCACGUUGGGACUGAGAUACGGCCCAGACUCCUACGGGAGGCAGCAGUGGGGAAUAUUGCACAAUGGGCGGAAGCCUGAUGCAGCAACGCCGCGUGCGGGAUGACGGCCUUCGGGUUGUAAACCGCUUUCGCCUGUGACGAAGCGUGAGUGACGGUAAUGGGUAAAGAAGCAUCGGCUAACUACGUG
This 468-nucleotide ribosomal RNA is filed under the name uncultured bacterium. RNAcentral describes it as "partial 16S ribosomal RNA". It matches the Rfam family "Bacterial small subunit ribosomal RNA", at positions 28 to 507 of the family's 1533-position model. The record is from RNAcentral.